RNAcentral lists this ribosomal RNA (450 nucleotides) under uncultured bacterium. Its description in RNAcentral is "partial 16S ribosomal RNA". It matches the Rfam family "Bacterial small subunit ribosomal RNA", at positions 354 to 796 of the family's 1533-position model. The record is from RNAcentral.
GUGGGGAAUUUUGGACAAUGGGCGCAAGCCUGAUCCAGCAAUGCCGCGUGCAGGAAGAAGGCCUUCGGGUUGUAAACUGCUUUUGUACGGAACGAAAAGGCUCUGGUUAAUACCUGGGGCUCAUGACGGUACCGUAAGAAUAAGCACCGGCUAACUACGUGCCAGCAGCCGCGGUAAUACGUAGGGUGCAAGCGUUAAUCGGAAUUACUGGGCGUAAAGCGUGCGCAGGCGGUUUUGUAAGACAGACGUGAAAUCCCCGGGCUCAACCUGGGAAUGGCGUUUGUGACUGCAAAGCUGGAGUGCGGCAGAGGGGGAUGGAAUUCCGCGUGUAGCAGUGAAAUGCGUAGAUAUGCGGAGGAACACCGAUGGUGAAGGCAAUCCCCUGGGCCUGCACUGACGCUCAUGCACGAAAGCGUGGGGAGCAAACAGGAUUAGAUACCCCAGUAGUCC